This 389-nucleotide RNase P RNA is filed under the name Gammaproteobacteria bacterium. RNAcentral's name for it is "RNase P RNA component class A". It matches the Rfam family "Bacterial RNase P class A". From Rfam's summary of the family: Ribonuclease P (RNase P) is a ubiquitous endoribonuclease, found in archaea, bacteria and eukarya as well as chloroplasts and mitochondria. Its best characterised activity is the generation of mature 5'-ends of tRNAs by cleaving the 5'-leader elements of precursor-tRNAs. Lineage: Bacteria; Pseudomonadati; Pseudomonadota; Gammaproteobacteria. The record is from RNAcentral.
CGAGUCAACCGGGUGGCCGCUGGACGCGAAGGCGUCUGGAGGAAAGUCCGGGCUUCGCAGGGCAGGGUGCCAGGUAACGCCUGGGGGGCGAGAGCCUACGGAUAGUGCCACAGAAAAUAUACCGCCGGUAGCCGCUCUGGGGCGCGGGUAAGGGUGAAAAGGUGCGGUAAGAGCGCACCGCGCCGGCCAACGCCGGUGGCAGGGUAAACCCCACCCGAAGCAAGACCAAAUAGGGAGACGCCGCCGGGCCGCAAGGCCUUGCAACGCACGGCCCGUGCGAGUCUCCGGGUAGGUCGCUAGAGGCAGACGGUGACGGCUGUCCCAGAUGAAUGGUCACCGCGGGCGGUUCGCCGCCCGCACAGAACCCGGCUUACAGGUUGACUCGCCUU